UACGUAGGGGGCAAGCGUUGUCCGGAUUUAUUGGGCGUAAAGAGCGUGUAGGCGGUUUUACAGGUCCGCUGUGAAAACUGGAGGCUUAACCUCCAGACGUCGGUGGAAACCGUAUGACUAGAGUCCGGAAGAGGAGAGUGGAAUUCCUGGUGUAGCGGUGAAAUGCGCAGAUAUCAGGAAGAACACCCGUGGCGAAGGCAGCUCUCUGGGACGGUACUGACGCUGAGACGCGAAAGCGUGGGGAGCGAACAGG
RNAcentral lists this ribosomal RNA (253 nucleotides) under uncultured bacterium. Its description in RNAcentral is "partial 16S ribosomal RNA". It matches the Rfam family "Bacterial small subunit ribosomal RNA", at positions 524 to 776 of the family's 1533-position model. The record is from RNAcentral.